Molecule: ribosomal RNA, 494 nt
Filed under: uncultured bacterium
Lineage: Bacteria
Description: partial 16S ribosomal RNA
Rfam family: Bacterial small subunit ribosomal RNA
Source: RNAcentral
GACGAACGCUGGCGGCGUGCUUAACACAUGCAAGUCGAACGGAAAGGCCUGCUUUCCCUUGUGGAUUGCGGGUACUCGAGUGGCGAACGGGUGAGUAACACGUGAGUGAUCUGCCCCCAACUUGGGUAUAAGCCUGGGAAACUGGGUCUAAUUCCCGAUAGGACUGCAGGGUGGUGCCUGUGGUGGAACACGAUUUUCUAGUGGUUGGGGAUGAGCUCGCGGCCUAUCAGCUUGUUGGGGGGGUAAUGGCCUACCACGGCGGCGACGGGUAGCCGGCCUGGGAGGGUGGACGGCCGCAUUUGGACUGGGAUACGGCCCAGACUCCUACGGGAGGCAGCAGUGGUGAAUAUGGCACAGUGGGCGGAAGCCUGAUGCAGCGACGCCGCGUGGGGGAGUGCGGGCUUCGGGUUGUAAACUCCUUGCGACCGCGAGGAAGCCACCUGGUUGGAAGGGUGGUGACGGUAGUGGUAGAAGAAGCACCGGCUAACUACGUG